CUGCGGAAGGAUCAUUAAAGAAUCGCCCCGUUUUGAAAUGGGUUCUAUUCCCAAACCGUGUAUACAUACCUUUGUUGCUUUGGCAGGCCGCCUUUUAGGCGUCGGCUCCGGCUGACUGCGCCUGCCAGAGGACCCAAACUCUUUUGUUUAGUGAUGUCUGAGUACUAUAUAAUAGUUAAAACUUUCAACAACGGAUCUCUUGGUUCUGGCAUCGAUGAAGAACGCAGCGAAAUGCGAUAAGUAAUGUGAAUUGCAGAAUUCAGUGAAUCAUCGAAUCUUUGAACGCACAUUGCGCCCCUUGGUAUUCCGAGGGGCAUGCCUGUUCGAGCGUCAUUAUAACCACUCAAGCCUCGGCUUGGUCUUGGGGUUCGCGGUUUCGCGGCCCUUAAAAUCAGUGGCGGUGCCGUCUGGCUCUAAGCGUAGUAAUUCUCUCGCUAUAGGGUCCAGGUGAGCACCUGCCAUAACCCCCCCAUUCUUUACGGUUGACCUCGGAUCAGGUAGGGAUACCCGCUGACCUAACAUUU
This 524-nucleotide ribosomal RNA is filed under the name uncultured Cadophora. RNAcentral's name for it is "eukaryotic LSU rRNA". The stretch from base 180 to 333 matches the Rfam family "5.8S ribosomal RNA". Lineage: Eukaryota; Fungi; Ascomycota; Leotiomycetes; Helotiales. The record is from RNAcentral.